RNAcentral lists this ribosomal RNA (372 nucleotides) under uncultured bacterium. RNAcentral's name for it is "bacterial SSU rRNA". It matches the Rfam family "Bacterial small subunit ribosomal RNA", at positions 527 to 897 of the family's 1533-position model. The record is from RNAcentral.
GGGGGGGGCAAGCGUUGUUCGGAAUUACUGGGCGUAAAGGGCUCGUAGGCGGCCAACUAAGUCAGACGUGAAAUCCCUCGGCUUAACCGGGGAACUGCGUCUGAUACUGGAUGGCUAGAGAUUGGGAGAGGGAUGCGGAAUUCCAGGUGUAGCGGUGAAAUGCGUAGAUAUCUGGAGGAACACCGGUGGCGAAGGCGGCAUCCUGGACCAACACUGACGCUGAGGAGCGAAAGCCAGGGGAGCAAACGGGAUUAGAUACCCCGGUAGUCCUGGCCCUAAACGAUGAAUGCUUGGUGUGGCGGGUAUCGAUCCCUGCCGUGCCGAAGCUAACGCAUUAAGCAUUCCGCCUGGGGAGUACGGUCGCAANANNNG